This 301-nucleotide ribosomal RNA is filed under the name uncultured bacterium. Its description in RNAcentral is "partial 16S ribosomal RNA". It matches the Rfam family "Bacterial small subunit ribosomal RNA", at positions 509 to 807 of the family's 1533-position model. The record is from RNAcentral.
CAGUAGCCGCGGUAAUACGGAGGGGGCUAGCGUUGUUCGGAAUUACUGGGCGUAAAGCGCACGUAGGCGGCUUGGUAAGUUAGAGGUGAAAGCCCGGAGCUCAACUCCGGAAUUGCCUUUAAGACUGCCGAGCUAGCAGGUGAGAGAGGUAAGUGGAAUUCCGAGUGUAGAGGUGAAAUUCGUAGAUAUUCGGAAGAACACCAGUGGCGAAGGCGGCUUACUGGCUCAUACUGGACGCUGAGGUGCGAAAGCGUGGAGAGCAAACAGGAUUAGAUACCCCCGUAGUCCCUGUCUCUUAUAC